This 433-nucleotide ribosomal RNA is filed under the name uncultured bacterium. RNAcentral's name for it is "partial 16S ribosomal RNA". It matches the Rfam family "Bacterial small subunit ribosomal RNA", at positions 29 to 507 of the family's 1533-position model. The record is from RNAcentral.
AACGAACGCUGGCGGCAUGCCUAACACAUGCAAGUCGAACGAGACCUUCGGGUCUAGUGGCGCACGGGUGCGUAACGCGUGGGAACCUGCCCUUAGGUUCGGAAUAACUCCCCGAAAGGGGUGCUAAUACCGGAUAAUGUCUUCGGACCAAAGAUUUAUCGCCUUUGGAUGGGCCCGCGUUGGAUUAGCUAGUUGGUAGGGUAAAAGCCUACCAAGGCGACGAUCCAUAGCUGGUCUGAGAGGAUGAUCAGCCACACUGGGACUGAGACACGGCCGAGACUCCUACGGGAGGCAGCAGUGGGGAAUAUUGGACAAUGGGCGAAAGCCUGAUCCAGCAAUGCCGCGUGAGUGAUGAAGGCCUUAGGGUUGUAAAGCUCUUUUAACCGGGAUGAUAAUGACAGUACCGGGAGAAUAAGCUCCGGCUAACUCCGUG